RNAcentral lists this ribosomal RNA (371 nucleotides) under uncultured bacterium. Its description in RNAcentral is "bacterial SSU rRNA". It matches the Rfam family "Bacterial small subunit ribosomal RNA", at positions 527 to 896 of the family's 1533-position model. The record is from RNAcentral.
GAAUCGUCCAAACGUUGUUCGGAUUCACUGGGUUUAAAGGGCGCGUAGGCGGUGCGUUAAGUCGGCGGUGAAAUACUUCGGCUCAACCGGAGAAUAGCCGCUGAAACUGGCGUGCUCGAGGGAGGUAGAGGUGUGUGGAACUUCCGGUGGAGCGGUGAAAUGCGUUGAUAUCGGAAGGAACACCUGUGGCGAAAGCGAUGCACUGGACCUCUUCUGACGCUGAGGCGCGAAAGCCAGGGGAGCGAACGGGAUUAGAUACCCCGGUAGUCCUGGCCAUAAACGAUGGGGACUAGAGAGUAGAUGCUCCGAUGUGUUUACUCUCGAAGCAAAAGUGGUAAGUCCCCCACCUGGGGAGUAUGGUCGCAAGGCUG